GAAGGUCUCCAGCAACUUCUCAAUGGAAAAUGCCAUUUGCUGGUGCACUUGGAAGCCCAUGGCUCUGAACGUGUUGACCUUGCCUGCCUGCGGGGACGGUGUGCCUCCGCAACCAGACAGGUUCCACUGGAAACGUUCAUCUCUGCUUCAUGGUAUUGAAAAAAUGUGAAAGGGAAGGAGGAGAGAAGACAUCAGUGAGUCUUCCCUUGGCUCAGGAAGCAGAUGACACAUUCCUUUCAGGUCUUCUUGAAGGGAAAUUUUCUUCUAUGCAUAGCAGGCAAACCAAGAAGUAUCUCAGUGAAAGACUGAAUUGAGCCUCUAAAUGCCUCCAGCCAAAUCACGUGGAGAAUGACACAGCUGGAAACCAGUUUGCAACUCAGUGUGGUCACAGAUAGGAGAAAAGAUCUGUAGUAAAUUGUCAGACACCUGGACAAUAACUUUUGCUCGGCUGCGAAAAGCCUUGAGACACAAACGUAAAUAGGAUAUUCUAGGAUGUAAUUCUAUCUUCUUGAGUUUUGGUUGAGGGGUGUGGUGGGGUGCAAAGUGUUUUUCUUGGGUUUUUUUUGAUUAAUUUUACAAACUAAUGUGUAAUCUGAAUGUUUCUGAAAAACACAGAGGCAUCCAUAUAAGCAGGAAAUCUUUGAAUUUCAAUUUUAUUCUGGCAAGUUAGGAAAGAAGGAAAGAAUCAGAUCAGUGACUACUCUUGGGUGCCAUUUAUCAAAGCAAUAAGAAAGAACAGAAUUAGUUGUCAGAGACAUCUCCAGCAAGACAAGGUAGUUUCAAGUGCUCUGAGGUGAUUUUUGUAACCAUUACCCACAUCUUCCUUCCCCAAUGAAAUAUUAGUAAAUUAUUCUCAUACCUAUGCUCAAUAAGCACAGAAAACAGCCAAUGGGAGAAGUUACAUCUUUUCUGUGGUCAUUCAAUUGUUUCUGGUUUUUGCUAAUACAUAGCCCUCAACAAUCCUGGCAAUUAGAAUUAAUUAAUCCACAGUUAAAGCUACUAAUGUGUAGUAGUCUUUAAUUUGAGGAUGACAAAUUGAGGAAUUUACUCAGUUGCGAAACAUGUGCAGCAAAUGAAUAAGCAUGUUCAAAAGUUGCACCUAUCUUUGAGCAAAUUAAAAAUACAUCCUAUUAUGUAAUUAACAUGAUUUUGAGUCAAAUAUGCUGUAUACUACAAAAAAAGUCCAAUUAGCUCCUACUUCUGUAUUAUUUAUAAUGAAACUACUUGCUAUUUGGCUAUAAUUUUCUGGGAGA
Molecule: long non-coding RNA, 1253 nt
Organism: Aquila chrysaetos chrysaetos
Lineage: Eukaryota; Metazoa; Chordata; Aves; Accipitriformes; Accipitridae
Exons: 4
Source: RefSeq, a predicted model, not a curated record